GGACUCUUUGCCCUGGAUCUGACAGCUGGGCCCGACUGUGCCUACUGUUCUGGAAUUAUCUCUGUUUUGUGGUUUCCACCUCCUUCUCCCUCCAUGUGUCUUCACAGGAGCUGAGAUAAGCAAGAGAUUUUCAACACAUACCCUGCAAGAGCAAGGUGACCCCCCCAGGAACAUCUUCUAGCUCUUUUGAUAACCAUAGGAAAGUUCAUAAUAGUUACAUAUGUUGAGGCAGGUUGCAGGCCCCGUGCCCCGUGAUGCCCCUCGAGUGUCCCAGGCUUCAGAGGAGAGGCCUCCCUGACAUGUUGCUAUGUGGAGAAUGUAGUGUCUGCUCAUCCUUCUGCUUCUGCAGCCCACGGAGCCCUGUCUUGUCUUACUCUCAUUCCCAGAGGGCCCUGUUCAUCUUUGUCCCAGUGUCUGUUUCUCUGCCCUCCCUCCCUUGGCCACAUCCUAGACCUUGCCCUUCCAGACAUUCCCCUAUGGGCGCUGUCCCUCCUUACCUCAGAGCUGGCUGUGGGAGUCUCAUGUGCCCCCACCCUUCACAUGAGCACUGUGCCCAGGGCUGGGACUAUACAGCACAGCCUGUGUUUGUCUAGGUCUGAGUUCCUUCUCUGUUCUCUUUGAACUUGGCUUCCCCGGGCUGAGGCUUGGUGUCCACCUUCCUUUCUGUGCCUGAAUAGAGCAGGGCUAUUCCUCAAAGGUGGAGCUUGAAGCAGGUCCUCACUAAUUUGUGUCUCUAGGAAAAUCAGGGUAGGAUGGAGCUACUGUUUAUAGAAGGCAAGAGGAGAAUUGUGAUUCUCUUUUAUAUCGUUCCCCUUGUGUUUGUUCUAUGAUCCACUGCCACUGAGGUUUUGAGGAGGCCAAAGCUCCGCCAGAUGCUAGACCUUACACCUUCUCUGUGAGCGCCUCUGGUUGAGAGUCUGACUUUUUGACGCCAAGCUCAGCUCUGGUGUUUGCUGCUCCUGUCUCUUGAAUAUCUUCGUUCCCCACCCCACCACCUUCCUUCUAUCUCAUUCAAACUUCACCCACUGCCCUCUGCCCUCCCCCAGCAUCAGCCUGGCUGCCUUCCAGUGGCCACACUUGUACAGGCCUGGGGAGAAUGACCUAUGAAAGGGGCUUUUGAAAAGGCUCAGGGAGACCCACCCAGGGAGUCAAGAUGUUGAAGAAGGGACCUGGGAUCCCAGAGACAGGACAAAAUGCUGCGAAUUACCUCUGAGGGGGUUUUCUAGACGUGGGUGUGCUGGGGAUUCUGUUGGCUUCCUUCAGGAGAGAGGAGAAGGGGUGGCUGGGUGAAGUGCAGAGAGGACCAGACUCAGGAGUCUCCAUCCAGCCUCUGGCAGUGCUAUCACUGUGACACUUCCAGGCCUUGGAUUCAGAAUGGUCUUUUCUUUGGCAUCCCUCCUUUGGCCAGUCACCAUCUCUACUGCUCACUUACCAGCCAUACUGUGUGAACCUGCAGGAAGAGAGAAUGGAGGUGACCCCAACGUGUGGCUAACCUUACCAUCAGCCCAGGCACAAAUCAGAACGCUUCUUGGUCUCAAGGCAGCUUCUGUGAACCACAGGAGCAGCUUAGUUGGGCUUUCUCUGUUCUUUCUGUGUCGGCUCAGUAGAUGGGUUUGAAUUACAUAUGAGGCUUGUGAAUACAAAACAUUAAAGUGGCCUCAGCUGCUUUGACUUGACCUCCAGGCAACUGUCACAGGCAUCAAGAACGAAGCCUCCAAGGAAGGCCACAGCUUGACCACCCCUCUCCACCCCGGCCCCUUUUCUCCUCCCCCUUCUUCUUCAGUGCUGGGGAAUCAAAUCCAGGGCCUCACCCUUGCUAGGCAAGCGCUCUAUCACUGAGCUACAGCCCCCAGCCCCACUUUUCUUAACACUGAAUUUUAAAUGGGCCAGGCAUCUGGGAAGCUCUGUCAGAUGCUUCUUUUUCUCUCUUCCACUCUCCUCUGGUCAUUUAUUAAAAGGAGCACUCCUCUUGCUGGACACUUGCUCGUUUUUCAUUUAACAAAGACUGGGGAGAGCCCUCAUG
Molecule: long non-coding RNA, 2023 nt
Filed under: Heterocephalus glaber (naked mole-rat)
Lineage: Eukaryota; Metazoa; Chordata; Mammalia; Rodentia; Bathyergidae
Description: lncRNA (ENSHGLG00000034252.1)
Source: RNAcentral